RNAcentral lists this ribosomal RNA (528 nucleotides) under Salmonella enterica subsp. enterica serovar Stanleyville. RNAcentral describes it as "partial 23S ribosomal RNA". It matches the Rfam family "Bacterial large subunit ribosomal RNA", at positions 1 to 559 of the family's 2925-position model. The record is from RNAcentral. Lineage: Bacteria; Pseudomonadati; Pseudomonadota; Gammaproteobacteria; Enterobacterales; Enterobacteriaceae.
GGGUUGUGAGGUUAAGCGACUAAGCGUACACGGUGGAUGCCCUGGCAGUCAGAGGCGAUGAAGGGCGUGCUAAUCUGCGAUAAGCGCCGGUAAGGUGAUAUGAACCGUUAUAACCGGCGAUACCCGAAUGGGGAAACCCAGUGUGAUUCGUCACACUAUCAUUAACUGAAUCCAUAGGUUAAUGAGGCGAACCGGGGGAACUGAAACAUCUAAGUACCCCGAGGAAAAGAAAUCAACCGAGAUUCCCCCAGUAGCGGCGAGCGAACGGGGAGGAGCCCAGAGCCUGAAUCAGCAUAUGUGUUAGUGGAAGCGUCUGGAAAGGCGCGCGAUACAGGGUGACAGCCCCGUACACAAAAGCGCAUGUGCUGUGAGCUCGAUGAGUAGGGCGGGACACGUGGUAUCCUGUCUGAAUAUGGGGGGACCAUCCUCCAAGGCUAAAUACUCCUGACUGACCGAUAGUGAACCAGUACCGUGAGGGAAAGGCGAAAAGAACCCCGGCGAGGGGAGUGAAAAAGAACCUGAAACCGU